RNA transcript from Lagopus muta (rock ptarmigan), 7967 nucleotides. It is a transcript of the gene named PWWP domain containing 2B, with no coding region annotated. The record is from RefSeq and is a predicted model, not a curated record. The transcript has 4 exons. NCBI's taxonomy places the organism in Eukaryota, Metazoa, Chordata, Aves, Galliformes, Phasianidae.
GCGGCCCCGCCGGGAGGGGAGGAGCGGCGGCGGCGGCAGCAUGGCGGAGGCGGAGGCGCCGCGGGUGGGCGCGUGGCUGCCGGUGCUGGUGGAGCAGGUGGUGAACGACACGCUGGUGGUGACGCUGCGCUGCGGAGAGCGCCGCUUCGCCGGCGUGCUGCUGGACUGCAGCAAGAAGUCCGGGCUGUUCUGUCUGCCCUCCUCCUUCCCAAAGCCCGAGGACCCUCCUGCCGCUGCCUGCGCCAUUCCCACGCACGGUGAGAUGCAGCCGCAGCCCGGGGACGACCAGGUGCCGCCGCUGCUGCCCGCGCCGCCUGGCGUUGUGCCGCCAUACCCGCCCUACUUCGAGGGAGCGCCGUUCCCGCGCCCGCUGUGGCUGCGGCACACCUACAGCCAGUGGGUUCCACAGCCGCCGCCGCGGGCCAUCAAGAGGACGCGGCGACGUUUGUCGCGGAACAGAGACCCGGGACGGCUGAUCAUGAGCACCAUCAGGCUGCGGCCCAGGCAGGUGCUCUGCGAGAAGUGUAAAAAUACCCUGAACCCCGAGGACGAGAACGCGGCGGGGCAGAACGCUAAAACCAGGAGGAAGCUGAGCGUUCAGGACAAGGAACAGAAAAAGCACAGCGACUCUGAGUGCCUGGAGAAAAGGAACAAAAGAGAGAAGAGAGAGGAUGACAAGUUUGCCGGGGAGCUGGUGCAUCGCACGCCAGUUAUCAAAAUAUCCUACAGCACGCCGCAAGGGAAAGGCGAGGUGGUGAAGAUCCCCUCCCGGGUGCACGGCUCAGUGAAACCGUUCUGUCCUGAACAGCUGCUGCAGAACAGAGAGGAGGACCGGGAGGAGGUCGGAGAUGCUGAGCAAUGUCAAGAAACCAAGGGCUUCACGGACAAGGCAGUGGGCAGCCAGCUUGCUUCCAUCCCCAAACUGAAGCUGACGCGGCCGGUGCAUCCCAGUGCUGAUGUCCCGCCUCCAAAGAUCCGGCUGAAGCCCCAUCGCAUCAACGACGGCCAGAGCGUUUCUAUCUAUAAGGCAGAACUUAUCGAUGAGAUAAACGUCCUUCAGAACAGCAGGGAGACGAAUCCCGGUGCGUUUUACACCAAUGAAUCGGCAGACAGAGGUUUGGCCGAGAUCUCUUCGGGGAGUUCGGGUGAAGAUGACGACUUUAAAAGGUUUCCCCAAGGUAAAGACGGACACGAAAACUUGGCUUUCCUUAUGAAUUACCGGAAGAGAAAAGCGGAUUCUUCUAGUUUGUCAGUGUGUAGUAAUGACAGUCUAGACGAAUCCAAGUCUUCUAGUUCGGAGGUAACAUCACCAGAAAUGUGUGACUUUUUACCUGGUGAUGAUGCGUCUGUCUCUUCAUCUUCAAAAGAUGAGCGUAAAAUUGUGCCGCCCUUGACAGUUAGGCUGCAUACCCAAAGCGUGUCUAAAUGCGUCACUGAAGACGGAAGGACUGUAGCAGUGGGGGAUAUUGUUUGGGGUAAAAUUCAUGGAUUUCCGUGGUGGCCGGCACGGGUUCUUGACAUAAACCUUAGCCAGAAGGAAAAUGGGGAACCUUCAUGGCGAGAAGCCAAAGUGUCGUGGUUUGGUUCUCCAACGACUUCAUUCUUAUCUGUUUCAAAACUUUCUCCUUUCUCUGAAUUUUUCAAACUGAGAUUUAAUCGCAAGAAGAAAGGGAUGUAUCGCAAAGCUAUCACAGAGGCUGCCAAGGCGGUGGAGCACCUGACUCCAGAAAUAAGAGAUCUCUUAACACAGUUUGAAACAUAACUGUGCCACCAGUAUCAGGUAAAGAAGAUAAGAGCACAGCUGUUCUCCUAGAAUGUCACGAAGUCUGUACGCAUCCUGACACGCUCCCCAGGAGAAGCGGGAGGUUGCCAUGCACGUGACAGGAGGACGGGUUUCCUUGUCAGCUUGCACUGCUUAUCAUCAUCUGGGAGAGGUGACAGUCACUGGGACGUGGAGUUAGGAGGAUCUUCUGGUGUGAGGCUGGCAGGAAAGAAAAGGAUUUCUUAAUCUAGGAUGAGAAUUUGACAAGUCAUACGGCAAUGAACUAGGAGAACAGCAAAAAAACACAACUUGGAAUGUAUUUAUUACCUAAAAGUUAGCUAUUCUUGAUAAAAUCCCCCAAAUUAUGCUGCUGCUUAUUUUACAGAUUUCACACACUUCUAAUUUUAAAGCUACCAAACAUUUACUCCAUUAUGUACUCUGAGAAAUGUAAUUGGAGGAAGACAUACAGAAGAAUGAAAUCAUUGUAGUGUCUUAAAUACAACGGACUCACUUUUGUGUCUAUUAAAACUUGGAAAAUGUGCAACACGUAACAAUGUGGCUGUCAUUGCAUAUGUUAAAGCUUUUUAAUGUGAUUUGCUGCAGAGCUGAGAGAACUGAUGUUUACAAGUACGCAAACAAGUAGUCAGCGGGUAACUCGGAUGGCUGUGUGUGCUAAGUGAGGGAAAUGAAGUCACCCGAAGCCGUGGGCAGCACAGCUUUGGUCUGCUUGCACUACCUGCGUGGAGGUGAGUUGUUAGCCUGGUGGGCCAGCUGGAGGAUGAGCUAACUUGUGUGUCCACACCUUCUAGUCAGCGAUAUAAGGCCUCUUAAACACCUGCCGUUGGGUAGAAGAGGUCCUCAUCCUCACACAUUACCAGAAGUGACUGGCAGUCCUUAAGAAAAAGAGAGAAAGCAAGCGGGCUGUCCACCCUACAGGAGAAAUGGCUUACAAACUAAAGUGACCUGUAAUCAAACUUCUGAAACUAAAUCACUUAAUUUCUUUUGGUCUGCAGUCGUCUAGGUUUUCCCUGGAAAGAGGUCCUGUCUAGGAAUUUGAUGAGGAAUAUCAAAUAUUGGUAGGAAUUUGUUGCUUCUGGUGCUCCGAGAAGAGUUCAGUUGCCCUUGCUAGGUUAAAUGUCAUCUGCGUGUGCUAGAAGAUUAGCUUCUGGCUGAAGAACCAUUGCACAGAUUUUACUUCCUGUUUCUUCUUAAUCUGUUGCAGCAAAUACUGCGACGAACUGUUGUCAAAUUCAAAGACCGAGUGGAAAGGAAAACAUAGAAGCUUGUUUUCUUGAUUUAUGCUGGUUAUAAUGUGGUAUUGUGAACGUCAGCAAGAGAGAUCCGAACUUCCUCUUUCUGCCUAACAGCAACAAAGUUUAACAUGAAAAGUCCAACACCAGAAAAUCCCUUCUGCUCAGUCUCGAUAAAAGCAUUCAGUCAAAAAUGUUUCUCUUAAAACUGUUGAAAGGCUGUGGUAAACAAGCAAACUAAAAUGUAUUGCUAAAAUAGGACAUCUGUCUCCCAAGGCCAAUUUUGGCUACCUCUGCAAACAAAUAAUUUUCCUGUUUUCCAGAAAUAAAUGUAAAAAAAGACAGCAGUGUAUAGAGAAGGUGUUCUUGUACCUUGUGUACAGCCUUUAAGAAGCAGUUGUUUACCUGGCAUCUGCUGUCCCCAUCUCCAAAACAGCAUGUGUAGCUGGCGAGGAUGCUGAGUGCUCCCACUCAUGGGAAAAAACAGUUUGGCCUUUAUCAAUGAGUCUUGAGGAAUUUCUGGGUUUUUUUCCUGUUUGUUUUUUUUUUUUCUAGCAUCCUCUCAAGCUUAGGGCUGGCUGGUGGCUAUGUGAGGUGAUUUCUAUGUUUGCUGCGCACACAGAUGUUCAUUGUACAAAUUCCCUGCCAAGAUGUGUUGCAAAGCUUUGUGGAUGCAGAGCGGCAGCAGUUAGCUGACAGGAGUUACAGAUAGCCUGCUGGCUGCUUAAAAGAAAAGGGCAAAAUGAAAAGAAGCAAAACCCCCAUGUCCAGGAAAAGCAGCUACCUGGAGCUGCUACGAUCUGCAGAUGGUGCCAGUCGCCCCAGGCACAGCUCACAGGUGCCCCACGCUCUGGGUCUCACUGCCUGCUGGUUCGAGUUCUGAGGGCUGGUGCUCAGUGCCUCUGUUCUCCAUCCUGGCAUCAGUGCUGCGAGCAACAUGGAACGGAUAGGGAAGCUUAAAGGAUGAAGCAGAUGAGUGAACCUGAAGAGCUGCUGAAGGUGAGUCAGCAGAUGGACGCUGCUUGGCUGUGCACGGCUGCAGAGUGCAAAGAAGGCUGCGGGGUGACCUCAUUGCAGCCUUCCAAUACCUAAAGGGAGCCUACAAACAGGAGGGGAAUCAACUCUUUGGAUGGGUAGAUAACUGCAGGACAAGGGGAAAUGGCUUUAAGUUGAGGGAGGGCAGAUUGAGGUUGGAUGUCAGGGGGAAGUUCUUUAUGGAGAGAGUGGUGAGGUGCUGGAGCAGCUGCCCAGAGAGGCUGUGAUGCCCCGUCCAUCCCUGGAGGUGUUCAAGGCCAUUGGAUGGGGCCUUGGGCAGCCUGGUGUAGUAUGAAAUGGGGAGGUUGGUGGCCCUGCCUGUGGCAGGGGGGUUGGAGCUUCAUGAUCCUUGAGGUCCCUUCCAACCCGGGACAUGUGAUUCUGUGAUUCUGAGUUUCAGUAUAGACAGAACAUAGCCCUCAGGGGCCUGAGCAGCCUGACCUGUGUGUGUGUCCUUCCUCAACCCGAGGCUGAGCUCUGCAAGUGGAUUACACACCAGCCUUAUGCAAUAUCCCAGCACAAAGUGUGGCUGUCCAUCUGCAGAUGGGAGUUGAAGAGGCUGGCUCACUGAAAUGAUUGUUCUUUGGUUUUGGCAAGGCUUAAAGCAAAAAGCUCACUGCAAAUUGCCUUUUUGCCUUGUCCAUUAUGCAGAUAAGUGAUAAGAAUUAUGCAGCAAAUGCAGAAGCAAAAGCCAAGAGCAUACUGGUAUUCCAUUUCUUAUCUGAUUUUAAGAAGUUAAGUGGAAGUUUCUGUUGUAUGUAAUGAUGUGAAGCUCUGAACAGCUUACUUUAGUCUUUUGUUCUGACAAAGCAAAACUAUUUGGCUAAAAAAAAGUGGAAAUUCUUCAGGGGUUGUAAGUUGUCUUCAGUAUUCUCUGCCAAUUGGUUUUGAGUUACCCCUUGAACACCACUAAUCAGUUCCUACGUCUGGUGACACUGUUCUUUCUGCUCAAUUGUUAAGGUUUCCCUUCAUAUAAUUCUAAAACUUGCAUGUGGCUUUAGGAAAUGGUAGGGCUGCUUCAGUUCAUUUCAGUUCCUGUUACACUAACGGCUUCUUAUAGCCGCCUCUGCUCCACGCUGCGGUUUUGGAGGUUUCCUCCUGAGCCCUCCAGCUGUGCUUCGGCUCAAACAGCCGAUGUCCUAAGCGUAGGGCCUGCAGAAUCACAGAUUGUUCUUUGGUGUAUUUUGGGUCGGGAUUUUUCUAUAUUUUAUUCUGACUUAAAUGCUAAAGCUAUUACUAUUUCCUUGUAAGAAGGCGUUCUGCAAAUAUUCUGAAUCUGCAGAUUGCAGCUAUAUGUGCACAAUCCACCUUCCCUCGGCCUCACAUCUCACACAUUUUGAGCAGCCUGUCAGGUCUGGGAGCCUCUCCGCACCCGUGUGAGAGCUGUGCCCAGUGGGUUCACACUCUCUGAAGGGGAGAAGUGGGGUGUUUUAUAGAACUGGAGAGUGAUUUGGUUAUAUAGCUGGCUCUGAUGAACCCAGCAGGUGCCCUGGCUUAGCAGCACCCGUGUCUUGGUGAGCUGUGGGGUGCCCCAUGACAGUGCCGUUUGGGCUUGGGCUGGUGGUCUCCCAUCACCAGCUGCUGGCUCACCCACCAGCUGGGUGCCAGCUGUGUGGUGGUACGUGGCACGGAUCGUGGGCCAGCCCCCACCUCGUCCCUUCUUGUCCGUGGCAAGAGGUUGGCAGCCAGGCUGCAGGAAAACCUCCACCAACCAUUUUAUGGUGUAAUUGAACUCUCCACGCCUUCUGUUGACCCAAAGCAAUCAUUUGUCAUAACUGAGUUGUGGAAUUUCAGCUUUUUACUUGCCAUAGUCCCGCAGGCUGGAGGUGUUGGUGCCGGGAGGAGGUGGCUGAGCUGGGCCCUGCCAGGCCCCGUGCGCCCUGCGUGCCGGGCAGUAACGGGUGUUGAGAUGCUGGGUCAGCGGCAGCUGGCACUGGGCUGGUUCUGCAGGGUUCUCUGCCACUCCUUGGGGAAAAAAAAUCAUCCUUCUGGCCAGCUGGCUACAUUCAGCUAUAGCUGUGCUUUGCGUUAGCAUGUCCUGCUGGCUCGGCUGCAGUCCUGGAGCGCAGACCUUCCCUGCGGCUGCAGCUGCCCUUGGUGGGCAAGAGGCCCUGAGCAGCCCCUUGUGAAGGUGGGAGCAGCCUUCUGCUGGCCACAGGCAGCUGCUAGGCUGUCAGUUUUCUGAUUUUGCUGGAUCCUUAGAUGAUCGUUACUGUCCAGGUUUUAUUACUACUGAUAGCAGAGCAUUUCUAAGCAGCACUGGCGGUGCCCAGUAAGAGCAAGCUGCUGGCGUCCAACCCAGCGCCUCUCCUGUAUGGAAAGUAUUUGCUUUCUUCUGAAUAUUUUUUUUUUAGUGCAUAUUAUAAAACUCAAAGUUGGGCAAGUUGUUCUUAAAAUUGAUUUCUCUGGGAAAAAUACAUAAAUGGUAAGCUGGUUUGCAUUAGAUACCAAAGGCUGGAGCAUUUGGCUUUGAUAACCACAACCUAACGUGGCCUGAAACAGCGUGUAUGGAAAAGAAUAUCUGAACUGGAUGCUGAGCAAAGCCCCAGCUGUGCAUUUUGGACCUGCAACUGUACUGUGAUGGCGACUGUACCCAGGGUGGGUGGUUGUGAAGCCUUCAUGCUGCAGGACACUGGGGCUCCUUCCUGGCACUGGGUCUGGCUGCUGCCCCUCCCUGCAGGCCCGCUGGCCCCACUGGCGCUGCAGUGCCUGUGUCUGAAGUUUGGGCUUGUUUUGCAUUUUAUUUCUGGCUUGUGGGUUCUGCUUUGAUUCUCUUUAUUACUUUCCUCCACCUCAUAAUUUUGCUCAGCGAUAUAGCUUGCUGAAGCCUGUAGUGAAUUGGUAUGGCUUUAAUUAGUUGAUGGGCGUGAGCUAAUGAGGGGUUUGGGCUGGGGUUGUGCUGGCUGGUGCUGUGGGGCUGGGCACUGGGGGAGCAGCCACGUGCUGCUGCGGGGAGCGCAGGUAUGCACUGCUCCAGUGGCAGCACAGUCUGUGCCAGUAGCUCUAGAUAAGCAUCCUCAUGUCGCCAUGACCUCUCCAAGCUGCGUUCAUUUAUAAUUUGCACAACUGAAGUUUUGUUGGUACAGAAAAAUGGAAUUUUCCCGGUGGCAGGGAGGACUGGCAGAUGAGUCAUUGGACUUCAUUAGCUAAUCUUAGAUCUGCUGUGAAUUACUCAGUAACUACUGAUACAGAGUGGGCUAAGAAAGUGCUCGUUCUGAGCACUUAAUUUUAGAAUUUGGGCCUCUUCUCCAGCAAGGAGACUGCAUACAUGGGAUCGGUGCCACCAGCAUCUGUGCAUGCUGCUUCCCAGGGGCUGGCCUCGGAGGAACACUGCUCUGAGAUUGAACCCAUACAUGAAGUUCAGCUAGGUGAGGGUGCAGAGAAUGCAGAUGGUGGGUUCCACACAAACUACCCACGCUGUUCUGUUUCCCCCUGGGCUGUACCGCCUGGUCCAGGAGUGUGGUAAUGGCCUCUGGGCAUGCUGGGCACCGCACACACUGCCACUGGGCACUGUUUCUAGGGGCCCUGCUGCCAAAGUGUCCCGUGCCAGGCUGUAGGGUUCCUGACCCACCUGCUAUUAGGGGAAAAUAUGACAGAGAGUGCAGAUAAAAGUCUUGUCACCACUAGGUGACCUCUAGCUGAGAUGGGUACCCAGACACAUGGCUUAUUAGGAACCUGGAGCACACUGACUGCUCGAUUUCACCGUUGAAGGGUUCAUGCUUGCUUCCAAAGGUUUCCUUUGGAACGUGGUACCUUGUGGAGUUCCACAGGACUAAACCAUUUUGUGAAUCAUUCUCAAAAUGGGCUUUGUUUCAUAGAAUCAUAGAAUGGCUUGGGUUCAAGGAUCAUCAAGUUCCAACCCCCCUGCCACAGCAGGGCCACCAAUCGCCAGGUCAGGCACUAGACCAAGCUGCCCAGAG